Molecule: ribosomal RNA, 585 nt
Filed under: uncultured bacterium
Lineage: Bacteria
Description: partial 16S ribosomal RNA
Rfam family: Bacterial small subunit ribosomal RNA
Source: RNAcentral
UGGGGAAUUUUGGACAAUGGGCGAAAGCCUGAUCCAGCAAUGCCGCGUGUGUGAAGAAGGCCUUCGGGUUGUAAAGCACUUUUGUCCGGAAAGAAAUCCUUGGCUCUAAUACAGUCGGGGGAUGACGGUACCGGAAGAAUAAGCACCGGCUAACUACGUGCCAGCAGCCGCGGUAAUACGUAGGGUGCAAGCGUUAAUCGGAAUUACUGGGCGUAAAGCGUGCGCAGGCGGUUUGCUAAGACCGAUGUGAAAUCCCCGGGCUCAACCUGGGAACUGCAUUGGUGACUGGCAGGCUAGAGUAUGGCAGAGGGGGGUAGAAUUCCACGUGUAGCAGUGAAAUGCGUAGAGAUGUGGAGGAAUACCGAUGGCGAAGGCAGCCCCCUGGGCCAAUACUGACGCUCAUGCACGAAAGCGUGGGGAGCAAACAGGAUUAGAUACCCUGGUAGUCCACGCCCUAAACGAUGUCAACUAGUUGUUGGGGAUUCAUUUCCUUAGUAACGUAGCUAACGCGUGAAGUUGACCGCCUGGGGAGUACGGUCGCAAGAUUAAAACUUAAAUGAAUUGAUGGGGUCAUAGCUGUUUCCU